AAUUCAUGUAAUCACAGACGGGAAGGGUUGAGCGAUGAAUACUUGAGUGAAUCUAAUCUACAGUGAAAGGACAAUGAAUCUGAAAUCAGUCCAGAUUUAGUAAUGUUCCUUUACAACAGCACAGUAUAGACCGACCACUACAGUAUAAAUUACCGCUAAAACCAAUGUGAAUUUCAAGAGUAGGCUACACCAAAAGGAUGAAAAAAUUCCAAGGGUAGGCUACUUUAUCACAGCUUACCUUCCAUAGUUUGUGGUCAGCCUGGGCUAUGUGGCUUCUUUAAGAUACAAUAUCGACCAACAAGAAUCUACUUUGGUUUUCACAGACUACUUCCUAUAAUUUGCGCUUUUUUUUUAUUGGUUUCGAUUGUUGUACCAUGACGUGUUUCGUGUAUGUACACCUGGAACAACAGGUUGGUUUCGGUUUCGGAUGGGAAAAUCACUUUAAAAUAUCUCAAAGAGGUUUGGUUUUAAAUAUCGUUAUCAUCCAAGGUAUUACCACGAGCCAAGAGAUAAUGAAACGAACUGGUAUAUGCUCCUGUCCUGUAGAAGCCACACGUUAAAAUCUUAUUCGAGAAUGAUGUCCUUUAAAAGCACUACACUACCCACAAUCCUAAAAUGUGUCGCCUCGUCUUUGAUUGGUUGAGCUUGCUAGUACCAUGGAAACGUUUACUGCCGGCGCGGAAGUCAAGCCGUGGGUUUAUGCGGCUGAACUCGGUCGUUUGCCACAGAGCGAUCGUGACGUCCCUUUCUGACAUGACGCGGGUUUUUAGAGAUGAGGACAGAGCGUCAUGUCCAAAGGGGUGAAGACCAGUACAUGUCCUGCCAUGUACUGGACUGUGGUGUUUGUGAGAGCUAGCUUGAAUGAGAAGACAUACAGGGUGAUGCAGCCUUUUCAAGACGUAAAGAAUCGGAUUGAUAUCGGUAUCUCCUGCUAGCAAAAGAUGCGGUAUCGGUAUCGGAAGUGAAAAAGUGGUAUCGGGAUAUCCCUAGUCCUAGUCUGACUCCUUCUGGCACAAUGGCUCAGAUUAUAAAUCCCUCAUCAGCAAGUAUGAGAUCACCUGACUUGAAGACCUCCAGGAUUCCACGAUGGCCUGUCAGAAACCGAUCCAGGAUACAAUUUGCUGCAGACACAUACGUAAACAUACAUACCCAUACACAAUCAAAUACAAAGAUGUACACACACAGAAGCAUGUUGUGGCAGUGCAAGUACCAUUUCUCCAGGAAUUGUAAGAAUUCUGGUUAAAUCUGUAGAUGUAAAACUAUACGACACAGUUUACAAAUAAAGGUCCUUUUUCCUUGGAACGCAAUUUUCUUCCCAUGUCAAUAUAAUAAUUACUAAUCAUUGAGCUGAAUGGGACUAAUAGCUUUACACUAAUGUAUCCCAUUAUCUAUUGAAUGCUGUUGAAUUUUAUUAAUGUGAUUAAUGUUUUAAUUGAUAUUGAAUAUGUUGGCAUGACUAGUACAGAAAUAUGUUGGACAAUGAAGCAAGAAGGCAGCCUUUCCCACAAACCACUUUUAUUUUUUCCCCAAACAGACGUCUGAACCUUCCUGGCUCAGGAUCAGAAAGUUAACAUAAUAUAUAAAAACAAUGAACUGACACAGUACCAUUAGCCUCUUGGGGAACCUGUAGAAAAUGAUUGUGCUAGUAGAUUGUAGAUUACCCUUAAAAAGGAUCAUUAUCUUUCUUUGGCAUAAUGUCAACUUGUUCAGAAACUCUGUGAUCACAACUAUCUAUACCUGCCUAUAGGAGGUACCUGAGGGGAACAGCUUAGCACUAGCAGAGGAUGGAGGACCUAUUCUGAACAUGACAUCAAUAAUUACUUUAAGGUCAA
Molecule: long non-coding RNA, 1832 nt
Organism: Gadus macrocephalus (Pacific cod)
Lineage: Eukaryota; Metazoa; Chordata; Actinopteri; Gadiformes; Gadidae
Exons: 2
Source: RefSeq, a predicted model, not a curated record